AUACGGAGGAUGCGAGCGUUAUCCGGAUUUAUUGGGUUUAAAGGGAGCGUAGGCGGGAGCUUAAGUCAGCGGUUAAAUGGUGCGGCUCAAACGUGCCCUGCCGUUGAAACUGGGUUUCUUGAGAGUGCAAGAGGCGGAUGGCAUUCAUGGUGUCGCGGUGAAAUGCUUAGAUAUCAUGAAGCACCACGAUUGCGAAGGCAGUCCGCUGGGGCACGUCUGACGCUGAUGCUCGAAGGUGCGGGAAUCAAACAGGAUUAGAUACCCUGGUAGUCCGCACGGUAAACGAUGAUUACCCGCUGUCGGCGGCAGACAGUCGGCGGCCAAGCGAAAGCGAUAAGUAAUCCACCUGGGGAGUACGCCGGCAACGGUGAAACUCAAAUGAAUUGACGGGG
This 392-nucleotide ribosomal RNA is filed under the name uncultured bacterium. RNAcentral describes it as "partial 16S ribosomal RNA". It matches the Rfam family "Bacterial small subunit ribosomal RNA", at positions 523 to 918 of the family's 1533-position model. The record is from RNAcentral.